UACGUAGGGUGCAAGCGUUAAUCGGAAUUACUGGGCGUAAGGCGUGCGCAGGCGGUGAUGUAAGACAGAUGUGAAAUCCCCGGGCUCAACCUGGGAACUGCAUUUGUGACUGCAUCGCUGGAGUGCGGCAGAGGGGGAUGGAAUUCCGCGUGUAGCAGUGAAAUGCGUAGAUAUGCGGAGGAACACCGAUGGCGAAGGCAGUCCCCUGGGCCUGCACUGACGCUCAUGCACGAAAGCGUGGGGAGCAAACAGG
This 253-nucleotide ribosomal RNA is filed under the name uncultured bacterium. Its description in RNAcentral is "partial 16S ribosomal RNA". It matches the Rfam family "Bacterial small subunit ribosomal RNA", at positions 524 to 776 of the family's 1533-position model. The record is from RNAcentral.